UGCUGUUAGCAGGAGAUGGCUUUGGCACUGAGGAUGGCACUGGGCACUGCCCCACCCUGCUCUUGAUCUCCGGGCUGGGCAGUGGGAGCCUCGUGGGGAAAAUAAUCCCUCUGACUUCAACACAGACAGACUUUGCUGCCAAACUCCUCCAUUCUCCAGUGAGAUCAUUAGCGUGAAAAUCAAACAGGAUCAGGGCCUGAAAGGCUUGAGAAAUGCUCUGUGAGGUUAUCUGCUGAAGUCCAGACAGAUCAGGUGCCAGAGAGCUGCACCAGGACUAACGAAGGCACGCCAGGAGAAAUGGCACGAGGAGAAGGGUGAAAUGCUGAUGGUGAAGUCAGAAAUCCCCAGGGACCCUGCAGAGGUGGGAAUCCCUGGCCACACGAGGCAGCAGCACCUGCUGGGUUCAGGUGUGCCAGGAGAGGGGAGGAGCAGGGCGCAGCUUUGUGCUGGCAAAGGCUGGAAAACAAUAAGGAGGAAUAGUCUUCUGUGAGCAUGAGCAUGGCCCGGGGUGGCCUCCGUGACGUCUGCUUCAGCCUGAUGCUGCUCAGGUUUUUAAUCUCUUUCCCAGAGCCAGAAGGCAGCGAUGCAGGGGAUUUUUGGCAAUUUCUUUCAAGGCUUUUAUAUUCUGCGGGUUUCAGGCUUGCGUUCCCCCUUCCUCCACCCCUUUGCCCCUUCUGAAAUGAAUUGCAGUUAAUUUUGGAUGUUGUUGAGCCUGGAAACACAUCUUUCUUGCUGCCAGCCCAUUAAAAAAAAUAUAUUUACAGUUCCAUAAAGCAAAGCCAGCUGCCAAGGUAACGUCCUGCUGGCUCCCUCGUGUUCCAGGCACAGAAUAAGGAU
Molecule: long non-coding RNA, 837 nt
Organism: Passer domesticus (house sparrow)
Lineage: Eukaryota; Metazoa; Chordata; Aves; Passeriformes; Passeridae
Exons: 3
Source: RefSeq, a predicted model, not a curated record